This 253-nucleotide ribosomal RNA is filed under the name uncultured bacterium. RNAcentral's name for it is "partial 16S ribosomal RNA". It matches the Rfam family "Bacterial small subunit ribosomal RNA", at positions 524 to 776 of the family's 1533-position model. The record is from RNAcentral.
AACGUAGGGACCGAGCGUUGUCCGGAAUCAUUGGGCGUAAAGAGCGUGUAGGCGGCCACUUAAGUCCUGCGUGAAAUCUUGCGGCUCAACCGCAAGCGGUCGUGGGAAACUGGGUGGCUAGAGUGCGGGAGAGGAGAGUGGAAUUCCUGGUGUAGCGGUGGAAUGCGCAGAUAUCAGGAAGAACACCCGUGGCGAAGGCGGCUCUCUGGAACGCAACUGACGCUGAGACGCGAAAGCGUGGGGAGCAAACAGG